This 5937-nucleotide long non-coding RNA is filed under the name Lathyrus oleraceus (garden pea). RNAcentral describes it as "Pisum sativum (pea) long non-coding RNA (PSAT_LNC022467)". The record is from RNAcentral. Lineage: Eukaryota; Viridiplantae; Streptophyta; Magnoliopsida; Fabales; Fabaceae.
UGAUGCGAUGCUAGAAGUAAAAUAGAUGAUAUUACUAGGGUAUCAUCCCACAAAUGCAUACAAGUAGUACAAUCCAAGAACUAAAUUGUAGAAAAACAUUAACAUAAAACAGCAUACAAGUAGUACAAUCCAAGAACUAAAUUGUAGAAAAACAUUAGAGGAAAUAAAUUGUUCAUUUUAAACAUAAAACAGCAUACAAGUAGUACAAUCCAAGAACUAAAUUGUAGAAAAACAUUAGAGGAAAUAAAACAGCAGAGAUCCAAUACAAGAAGAAGACAUGAUCCAUGAACUUGUGUGACUUUCAUGACUUUAACCAAACCAAUUAGAGGUUAACAAUGGUGGGCUUAAAGUCAAGUUAAGACUUACUUUUCUAAAGCACAAGCCUUUAUGAAAAAAAAUGUGUUAACAUGAAAAUAAGGUUUUUGCAAAUUCAAGUUGGGGACAUGGUCCUUGUCAAGCUUUUAACCUGGGUGACGACAAUAUCCUUCCCUGCACCGAAAUCAAAAGCUAAGGGCUAAUUUCAUUUAGUUUUGUAAUAUUGCCUUUAGUUUUUAAAAUUGAAAAAUAAUAAAAUUUGUUUAAUAACUUAAUUUUUUAUAAAAUUAUUAAAAAAUUAUUCUCUAUUUAUGAAUUUUGAAAACUAAAAAAAUUAGAAUAGGUUUUAGAUAUUUUGUUUUUUAGUUUUAAAAAUUGAUAAGAAAAAAACAAGAAAAAAUAAUAUACUUUUUAUUAAUGAUAAAUUUGUAAUAUUAUACAAUUUUAAAAUAAUUUUUAAAAGUAAGAUUAUUUCAAAAUAGAAGAUAGUUUUUAAAAAUAAUUUUAGAAAAAUAGAUCUCAUUUUCACUUUUCACUUUAAUAAAAGAAAGAAAGCCUCAAUCAGAACCACUUUAAUAGCUAAGUGUCUGACUUUAUUUGUCAUGGUUCCACACUAUUGUGGCUAACAAAUGAAGGCUAUCUUUAUUUAACAUUAAUCUAACCAAAGAUUUUAAUGGCUUCAUCUUAGUGAAGAUGCAAUUGUUUACAAGUCCUUUCUUGAAUAAAUUUGAAACCUGAAAGUAGAGGCUUUGCCAUGAACAUCGAAAGCUAAAAGCAUGUGUCAAGAACAACUAGUAAAACGAAUGAGCUUUAUAUAAUCAAGCUUGCUAUUAAGAAACCAAAUGUGAUUUUAGGACAAGUAUGCUUGAGAGCCAUUGCCAAGAAACUAAUGAGGUUUGGAUCAGAAAAGGAUGAAGACAUUUAUAUGUCCAAUGACAGUACGAGUAAUGAUGAUCUAAAGAUACAAAAUAAACAAACUGCAAAGACAUGAAGGAAGAAUAAAAGAUACAAAAUCAUUUCCUGAUGAGUCUAUAUACAAAUCUAUACAUCACAAUUUCAAGUGUCCCCUCCAGAAGGAGAUUUCAUGUCCUGAUCAUUUGAAGUACUAGUUGUUGCUGAUGUCGGAUUUCUUAUGUUUCCAUCUCCCACUGAUGGAGUUGUUGGCAAAAUUUCAGACGUACAAGCUUCUUCUUUGAUGGAGUUGUUGGGAUCAAUGUUGGCCCCAAUCAUCUGAUCAACCAAAACAGAAAGGUUGAGAUUUAUGCAGUCUCGCGUGAAUUUCCAUCAAUAAAUAAUCGAAAUAGGAUAUGCUUACUUGAAGAGGGAUGGCUGCUAUGGGAAUCUUUUCCUCAUUUCGAGCAAUCUCUGCAAUUCUUGCACCUGUUUUCUUAGCAGUGUUUGUGUUGAAUAAGGCCGCAGUAAUCUAAUUGAACAAAAAGAUGAAGAUUGUUACUCGCUUAAAUAAAACGAAUGAGUGCAGUCAUUUUGAAUAUGAUCUGCUUACUUUAACACGCUUGGCCACUAUGAGAGAAUUGACAGAAGCAUUUCCAAACGGUUUUCCCUUAUCAUCUAUGCAUGUAACCAUACAUGUUGCCUUUGCACGACAGUGACGACCAGCACCAUCAACCAGACUUUUUAUCGACAUUAAAUGUAUCUCAAAUUCUCCCUACAUGCAUAUAGGAAAUUCGAAUAAACGGCACGCACACGCACACACACAACACAAAUCAAAAGAUAUGAUUUAACCUUGAUGUGGAUGGGACCGUCUGGAGUAAGACUCACAAUGUCUGAUACAGAACCCGAUGCAGAAAGUAUGAUAACAGUUUUACGACGAUUUUCCACAGAUAUAUUGUAUAGAACCUCUACCACGUCCUGCAAAUCAUAUGUUCAGUAAAUGUAAUACAAAAUUGCAUCUGAAAUGUUAACAUUAGUCAGUUCAUGUAAUACCUGGCGAGCAUUCAACUCAAUCACAUGAGGGGUGAGUUUUCCACCAGGGGUUGAGUCUAUCUUGUGGAGUUUCUGCAGAAGUUGUUUCUGAAGUUGUUAGAGAAGGUCCUCUUUUCUAUUCUUUGAACCAGGAGGGCGUCCUCUUCCCUCUUGGUUGGAGUUUAAGAAGAAGUUGUUAGAGAGGUCCUCUUUUCUCUCUUGGUGUUGGGUUGGGAGAAGAAUCCAUGGCAAUGCAAUGGCAAUGGCCUGGAAAUGUGGAAGAAUUAUUCAUUGCUGAUCACCACCUAACAAUUUUCUUUUCUUGGAAGAACUUCAGUUUCAGUUUCAGAAGUUCUUCUUUUGAUGUGAAGUUGAUUCAAGAAUGAAGAAUAAUGCAAUUGCGCAGUCUAUCAUCACCAUCUUCUUCUUGAUGAUCGUAGUGGAAGUACCGAUCAUCUCGCUGCUUCCUCCUUCUUAUCACCUUUUCCAUUUUUGUGUCACAAGAACAAUCAGUUUAUGGAUUGUGAACUGAGAGAGAGAGAUUGUUUGAUUUACAUGUACACACGGAAAUAUUAUUUAUAGUAUGAAUGAAGAGCUUCAACUAAAUAAGAAGGAAAUGUAAGCUAAGGUUUUUAACUGCUUCUAACUAAUCAACCGUCAUAAUAGAAAACUAAGUAGGAAAUGUAACUGAUUUGUUGGAUUUAUUUAUAAAACUUGAGGUGGAUAAAGUUGCUCUCUUGUGGGAUUUGUGCUAAUAAUCUUGAAUCAAGAUUCUUGAUGAUCCUAAUGUUGAUUCAUUUCACAUUACUAGAGCAAAUAUUUCAUAUUCUCUUCUACAUAUAUAAAUGACAUUCCAUUAAUUCUUAUAAAUCCAAUAUUCCAUUAAUUCUUAGGUGAUGUGAGACUAAACGACUCACAUUUACACUCAACAAUCUUCCAAGUAGGAGUUUCCGCAUCCUAUAACAGGAUCGAACCCACCUGGUUAGCUAAUGUGGUGAUGGUAAAGAAGGCCUCUAGGAAAUGAAAAAUGGGCAAUCCAGUUUAUAAUGACGGACUUUUAUUCAAUUAAAAGGAGUUGGCGUCGAAAUUAUAUUUGAGGGACCUAGAAAGAUAUUUUUAGAAAAAUAAUUGGGUUUUAACUACAAGUAUAGUAACAACCAAGUGAAUUAUAAAACUUUAAUCCAACGAAUGAAAUUGGUCCAAGAUGUAGAUGCAACUUAUGUUCGGGUAGGGAGUGACUCUCAAAUAGUCACUAACCAGAUUAAGGGAUAUUAUAAAACCGAACAACCUAUGUUAUCAAAAUAUUUAAAGGUCCUAGACAUGGCAAAAUAAUUCUAGUAUUUCACAUAAUCAGUUUAGAAAUGUCAUGCUGGAAGACAAGCUCUAUAGAAUGGAGCGAUCCAUGUCUGUGUUGAAAAGAUUGGAAGAAUAAGACGUGGAUUUAGUAUUGGAGGGAGAGCAUUGGCAAGCAAGCUUAUAAGAUUCAGAUACUAUUGGCUGGGGAUGCUUAGACAUAGUUCCAAGUUUGUCAGUCGAUGCGAAAAAUGUCAAAGAUUCUAAAAUUUCAUCCACGCCCCCGCCAAGAUAUUGCAAUCAGUGACUUCACUGGCAUUUCUAUUAGUGAAGGGUAGACAUACUCGAGCACUUCCCAUCGGCCCCUAGACAAUUAAAAUUCCUAUUAGUUGUGGUCGAUUACUUCACCAAAUAGAUUGAGGGCGGAGAAAUGUCCAAGAUAACCGCAAAAUGGAUGUGUCAUUUUUAUUGACGAAAUAUUAUUUGUAAGUUUAAGUUACUAAAGAUCAUUGUCUUUGACAACGGGACACAAUUUUAUUGCUCUUUUAUGAUCAACUUCUAUAAAAAUAUAGAUAUCUAGACGAGGUUUAUCUCGAUCAAGCACCCUUAAGAGAAUAGUCUGGUGGAGUCAGCCAAAAGAUCACACUCACCAGAAUGAGAAAAAAUAUUGACGAACCUAAAGGAUUUUUUGACUGAGCAACUUCAUGAGGUACUAUGGUAUUACCUAUUAAACUGAUAUAAAACUUUCAUAUUAUUUCAAUCGUAUAUUACAAGGAAGGAAUAUGUUAUAUUUAUAUACACAAAAAACCUAUUUCUAAUUAUAACUAAAUCAGAAUAAUUAUAGCCAAAUCAUGGUAAUUAACAAUUAAUAACUAUAUUCCUAUUAUAGUUCCUAAAAUCUUGUUGACAGCUAACACCAACACUCCCCCUCAAGUUGGUGCAUAAUAGAAAACUAAGUAGGAAAUGUAAUUGAUUUGUUGGAUUUAUUUAUAAAACUUGAGGUGGUUAAAGUUGCUCUCUUGUGGGAUUUGUGCUAAUAAUCUUGAAUCAAGAUUCUUGAUGAUGUGUUGAAUUGUAAUUCCUUGUGGACAAAGAAAACUCUGCAGAAUUUUAUUACUCUUUUCCUUCAUCGUUCUUUACUUUCUUUCUUUCUCAAUUGUUCUUCUCUUUUUAUUGCUAUUGAGUUGGUGAUAACAAUCUCGUUCAUCAAGAUUGAUUGAAAUUCUUCAUAGUUGUGGGGAAUUUCCAACAUCUGGUAUCAAGAGCUCUAGUUUAAUCGAUUUUUAGGAAGAAAAUCACCAUGGCAACGAAUAAUCGAAACUGGUGAAUCAAAUCAAGGUAUGUGGAGAAGUGUUUACAUCAAGAUCUGUUGUUGCAAAGAUCUUGAGGUCGUUGGAUCCAAAGCUCGACCACGUGGUAAUAGCCAUAGAAGAGGCGAAAGAUUUGUCAAAAUUGACAAAGGAAGAUCUUCAAGGGACGCUUGAAUCUCAUAAACAAAGAAUGGCUAAAAGAUUUGCAGGAAAGUCAAAGAGUGAUAUGGAUUUGCAUGCUCAAUCAGCAAAAGAAAGAAAUGGCAAAGGAAGUUGGAACGACAACAAAGACAGAGAAGGUUACAACAAUUCGACUGGUCGAAAUCAGCAAGAAGGAAACUGGUUGAAUAAGAGAAAACCCUAGAACCAAGGAAACCAAGGAGGUGGUGUUGCAGGUAGAUGAAGAGGUGGUGGUCAAAAGUCAGACAAGAGACACAUUCAGUGUUACAAUUGUCAAAGGUAUGGUCACUAUUCUAGUGAUUCUCCAGAAAAGCAGAAGAAUCAAGAAACUUAUACAAAGCUGGUGAAACAUGAAGAAGAAGAAGAUACGUUGUUGAUGGUUACAACAAGAGAUGAAGAGAGAUUCAAGGAUCAGUGGUACUUGGACUCAGGAUGCUUAUCACAAAUGUCUAGAAGAAAAGAUUGGUUUGUCAACAUAAAGCACUCAAUGAAGAACAUGGUGAAAUUUGCAAAUGACAACACUCUAGCAGCUAAAGGUGUUGGUGAUGUUCUGAUUAUGAGGAAAGAUGGCAAGAGGUCAGUAAUUUCAAAUAUGUUUUACAUACCAGGCAUGAAGAGUAAUUUUCUCAGCAUAGGACAAUUAGUCGAAAAGAACUACAGAGUGUCGAUCGAAGACAAGAUGAUGAGAGUUCUCGACUCAAAUGGAAGGUUGAUCUUGAAGGCUCCAAUGUCUCAGAAUAGAACCUUCAAGAUUGAGCUUAAUGUGAUGGAGCAUAAGUGCCUUGCAAAGAUCGAAGACAAGAUGAUGAGAGUUCUCGACUCAAAUGGAAGGUUGAUCUUGAAGGCUCCAAUGUCUCAGAAUAGAACCUUCAAGAUUGAGCUUAAUGUGAUGGAGCAUAAGUGCCUUGCAACAACA